AACUGAUACUACCUGCGGGAACCUGCGGAGGGAUCAUUACUGAAGCGAUUUGGGGAUGUUGCUGGCCCUCUCUCAAGGGGGGGCACUGUGCACUCCUCGAAACAAUUCACAAUUUCCAUCACACCCCUUGUGCACACCUUGUAGGCACCCAAACCCACCUCCGGGUGGUGGGGUCCUAUGUAUUCCUUCAUCUCACACUCUGUUGAAUGGUGCCAUGGGACGCAUCUAAAGGAUUAUUUG
RNAcentral lists this unclassified non-coding RNA (240 nucleotides) under soil metagenome. RNAcentral describes it as "partial contains 5.8S ribosomal RNA, internal transcribed spacer 2, and large subunit ribosomal RNA". The record is from RNAcentral.